AAGGUUAAGCCUCACGGUUCAUUAGUACCGGUUAGCUCAACGCAUCGCUGCGCUUACACACCCGGCCUAUCAACGUCGUCGUCUUCAACGUUCCUUCAGGACUCUCAAGGAGUCAGGGAGAACUCAUCUCGGGGCAAGUUUCGUGCUUAGAUGCUUUCAGCACUUAUCUCUUCCGCAUUUAGCUACCGGGCAGUGCCAUUGGCAUGACAACCCGAACACCAGUGAUGCGUCCACUCCGGUCCUCUCGUACUAGGAGCAGCCCCCCUCAGUUCUCCAGCGCCCACGGCAGAUAGGGACCGAACUGUCUCACGACGUUCUAAACCCAGCUCGCGUACCACUUUAAAUGGCGAACAGCCAUACCCUUGGGACCUACUUCAGCCCCAGGAUGUGAUGAGCCGACAUCGAGGUGCCAAACACCGCCGUCGAUAUGAACUCUUGGGCGGUAUCAGCCUGUUAUCCCCGGAGUACCUUUUAUCCGUUGAGCGAUGGCCCUUCCAUUCAGAACCACCGGAUCACUAUGACCUGCUUUCGCACCUGCUCGCGCCGUCACGCUCGCAGUCAAGCUGGCUUAUGCCAUUGCACUAACCUCCUGAUGUCCGACCAGGAUUAGCCAACCUUCGUGCUCCUCCGUUACUCUUUAGGAGGAGACCGCCCCAGUCAAACUACCCACCAGACACUGUCCGCAACCCGGAUCACGGGUCAACGUUAGAACAUCAAACAUUAAAGGGUGGUAUUUCAAGGUCGGCUCCAUGCAGACUGGCGUCCACACUUCAAAGCCUCCCACCUAUCCUACACAUCAAGGCUCAAUGUUCAGUGUCAAGCUAUAGUAAAGGUUCACGGGGUCUUUCCGUCUUGCCGCGGGUACACUGCAUCUUCACAGCGAGUUCAAUUUCACUGAGUCUCGGGUGGAGACAGCCUGGCCAUCAUUACGCCAUUCGUGCAGGUCGGAACUUACCCGACAAGGAAUUUCGCUACCUUAGGACCGUUAUAGUUACGGCCGCCGUUUACCGGGGCUUCGAUCAAGAGCUUCGCUUGCGCUGACCCCAUCAAUUAACCUUCCGGCACCGGGCAGGCGUCACACCGUAUACGUCCACUUUCGUGUUUGCACAGUGCUGUGUUUUUAAUAAACAGUUGCAGCCAGCUGGUAUCUUCGACUGAUUUCAGCUCCACGAGCAAGUCGCUUCACCUACAUAUCAGCGUGCCUUCUCCCGAAGUUACGGCACCAUUUUGCCUAGUUCCUUCACCCGAGUUCUCUCAAGCGCCUUGGUAUUCUCUACCUGACCACCUGUGUCGGUUUGGGGUACGAUUUGAUGUUACCUGAUGCUUAGAGGCUUUUCCUGGAAGCAGGGCAUUUGUUGCUUCAGCACCGUAGUGCCUCGUCAUCACGCCUCAGCCUUAGUUUUCCGGAUUUGCCUGGAAAACCAGCCUACACGCUUAAACCGGGACAACCGUCGCCCGGCCAACAUAGCCUUCUCCGUCCCCCCUUCGCAGUAACACCAAGUACAGGAAUAUUAACCUGUUUCCCAUCGACUACGCCUUUCGGCCUCGCCUUAGGGGUCGACUCACCCUGCCCCGAUUAACGUUGGACAGGAACCCUUGGUCUUCCGGCGAGCGGGCUUUUCACCCGCUUUAUCGUUACUUAUGUCAGCAUUCGCACUUCUGAUACCUCCAGCAUGCCUCACAGCACACCUUCGCAGGCUUACAGAACGCUCCCCUACCCAACAACGCAUAAGCGUCGCUGCCGCAGCUUCGGUGCAUGGUUUAGCCCCGUUACAUCUUCCGCGCAGGCCGACUCGACCAGUGAGCUAUUACGCUUUCUUUAAAUGAUGGCUGCUUCUAAGCCAACAUCCUGGCUGUCUGGGCCUUCCCACAUCGUUUCCCACUUAACCAUGACUUUGGGACCUUAGCUGGCGGUCUGGGUUGUUUCCCUCUUCACGACGGACGUUAGCACCCGCCGUGUGUCUCCCGUGAUAACAUUCUCCGGUAUUCGCAGUUUGCAUCGGGUUGGUAAGUCGGGAUGACCCCCUUGCCGAAACAGUGCUCUACCCCCGGAGAUGAAUUCACGAGGCGCUACCUAAAUAGCUUUCGGGGAGAACCAGCUAUCUCCCGGUUUGAUUGGCCUUUCACCCCCAGCCACAAGUCAUCCGCUAAUUUUUCAACAUUAGUCGGUUCGGUCCUCCAGAUAGUGUUACCCAACCUUCAACCUGCCCAUGGCUAGAUCACCGGGUUUCGGGUCUAUACCCUGCAACUUAACGCCCAGUUAAGACUCGGUUUCCCUUCGGCUCCCCUAUUCGGUUAACCUUGCUACAGAAUAUAAGUCGCUGACCCAUUAUACAAAAGGUACGCAGUCACACAGAUUGCUCUGUGCUCCCACUGCUUGUACGUACACGGUUUCAGGUUCUUUUUCACUCCCCUCGCAGGGGUUCUUUUCGCCUUUCCCUCACGGUACUGGUUCACUAUCGGUCAGUCAGGAGUAUUUAGCCUUGGAGGAUGGUCCCCCCAUAUUCAGACAGGAUACCACGUGUCCCGCCCUACUCAUCGAGCUCACAGUAUGUGCAUUUUUGUGUACGGGGCUGUCACCCUGUAUCGCGCGCCUUUCCAGACGCUUCCACUAACACACACACUGAUUCAGGCUCUGGGCUGCUCCCCGUUCGCUCGCCGCUACUGGGGGAAUCUCGGUUGAUUUCUUUUCCUCGGGGUACUUAGAUGUUUCAGUUCCCCCGGUUCGCCUCAUUAACCUAUGGAUUCAGUUAAUGAUAGUGUGACGAAUCACACUGGGUUUCCCCAUUCGGAAAUCGCCGGUUAUAACGGUUCAUAUCACCUUACCGACGCUUAUCGCAGAUUAGCACGUCCUUCAUCGCCUCUGACUGCCAAGGCAUCCACCGUGUACGCUUAGUCGCUUAA
Molecule: ribosomal RNA, 2904 nt
Filed under: Escherichia coli STEC_94C
Lineage: Bacteria; Pseudomonadati; Pseudomonadota; Gammaproteobacteria; Enterobacterales; Enterobacteriaceae
Description: 23S ribosomal RNA
Source: RNAcentral